GGAGGGAUGGCCGAGCGGUUGAAGGCACUGGUCUUGAAAACCAGCAUACGUUCACGCGUAUCGAGGGUUCGAAUCCCUCUCCCUCCG
RNAcentral lists this transfer RNA (87 nucleotides) under Kiritimatiellia bacterium. Its description in RNAcentral is "Kiritimatiellae bacterium (activated sludge metagenome) tRNA-Ser". It matches the Rfam family "tRNA". Rfam says of the family: Transfer RNA (tRNA) molecules are approximately 80 nucleotides in length. Their secondary structure includes four short double-helical elements and three loops (D, anti-codon, and T loops). Lineage: Bacteria; Pseudomonadati; Kiritimatiellota; Kiritimatiellia. The record is from RNAcentral.